This 497-nucleotide ribosomal RNA is filed under the name uncultured bacterium. RNAcentral's name for it is "partial 16S ribosomal RNA". It matches the Rfam family "Bacterial small subunit ribosomal RNA", at positions 28 to 507 of the family's 1533-position model. The record is from RNAcentral.
GAUGAACGCUGGCGGCGUGCCUAAUACAUGCAAGUCGAGCGAACGGACGAGAAGCUUGCUUCUCUGAUGUUAGCGGCGGACGGGUGAGUAACACGUGGAUAACCUACCUAUAAGACUGGGAUAACUUCGGGAAACCGGAGCUAAUACCGGAUGAUAUUUUGAACCGCAUGGUUCAAAAGUGAAAGACGGUCUUGCUGUCACUUAUAGAUGGAUCCGCGCUGCAUUAGCUAGUUGGUAAGGUAACGGCUUACCAAGGCAACGAUGCAUAGCCGACCUGAGAGGGUGAUCGGCCACACUGGAACUGAGACACGGUCCAGACUCCUACGGGAGGCAGCAGUAGAGAAUCUUCCGCAAUGGGCGAAAGCCUGACGGAGCAACGCCGCGUGAGUGAUGAAGGUCUUCGGAUCGUAAAACUCUGUUAGUAGGGAAGAACAUAUGUGUAAGUAACUGUGCACAUCUUGACGGUACCUAAUCAGAAAGCCACGGCUAACUACGUG